RNAcentral lists this ribosomal RNA (119 nucleotides) under Saimiri boliviensis boliviensis (Bolivian squirrel monkey). Lineage: Eukaryota; Metazoa; Chordata; Mammalia; Primates; Cebidae. The record is from RNAcentral.
GUCUACCGCCAUACCACCCUGAACACACCCAAUCCCAUCUGAUCUCAGAAGCUAAGCAGGGUCGGUCCUGUUUAUUACUUGGAUGGGAGACCACCUGGAAAUACCAGGUGCUAUAGGCU